Molecule: long non-coding RNA, 379 nt
Organism: Dreissena polymorpha
Lineage: Eukaryota; Metazoa; Mollusca; Bivalvia; Myida; Dreissenidae
Exons: 2
Source: RefSeq, a predicted model, not a curated record
UUGAAGUUAGCAACUUGAUAUUUGGCAUGCAUGUGUAUCUCAUGGAGCUGCACAUUUUGAGUGUUGAAAGGUCAAGGUCAUCCUUCAAGGUCAAAUGUCAAAUUUAUGGUGUCUGUCCGUCCGAAAACUUUAACAUUGGCCAUAACUUUUUCAAUAUUGAAGAUAGCAACUUGAUAUUUGGCAUGCAUGUGUAUCUCAUGGAGCUGAACAUUUUGAGUGGUGAAAGGUGAAGGUGAAGGUAAUCCUUCAAGGUCAAAUGUCAAAUAUAUGUCGUCUGUCCGUCCGAAAACUUUAACAUUGGCCAUAACUUUUUUAAUAUUGAAGAUAGCAACUUGAUAUUUGGCAUGCAUGUGUAUCUCAUGAAGCUGCACAUUUUGAG